UAGGGAAUCUUCGGCAAUGGACGAAAGUCUGACCGAGCAACGCCGCGUGAGUGAAGAAGGCUUUCGGAUCGUAAAACUCUGUUGUUAGAGAAGAACAAUGACGUUAGUAACUGAACGUCCCCUGACGGUAUCUAACCAGAAAGCCACGGCCAACUACGUGCCAGCAGCCGUGGUAAUACGUAGGUGGCAAGCGUUGUCCGGAUUUAUUGGGCGUAAAGCGAGCGCAGGCGGUUUCUUAAGUCUGAUGUGAAAGCCCCCGGCUCAACCGGGGAGGGUCAUUGGAAACUGGGAGACUUGAGUGCAGAAGAGGAGAGUGGAAUUCCAUGUGUAGCGGUGAAAUGCGUAGAUAUAUGGAGGAACACCGGUAGCGAAGGCGGCUCUCUGGGCUGUAACUGACGCUGAGGCUCGAAAGCGUGGGGAGCAAACAGG
Molecule: ribosomal RNA, 429 nt
Filed under: Gemmatimonadota bacterium
Lineage: Bacteria; Pseudomonadati; Gemmatimonadota
Description: Gemmatimonadetes bacterium partial 16S ribosomal RNA
Rfam family: Bacterial small subunit ribosomal RNA
Source: RNAcentral